UUGAAAACUUGAAAAUUCAAAAUACUAAAAUUGUAAAAUAGUAUACACACGUCCUAUUUGAAUGAACUGUGAAAAAUAAUUGCCAAUUGAAUUGUUUACCGCGAAUACUGUUAGCAAAUAACAUUAUUGCUCGAGAAACGUACGACAUUUAACGUAAACGUUAAAUGUUAACAAAACAAUGAUCAGUGACAUUGCCACAUUGGACGACGUCAGAUUGAUGGCGAUUGUUAAUCAGUCGCAGGUAUUUGCUGAAAACAUUGAACAUGACAGGAUUAUUCAUGUUUAGAUCAAUACCAUUCAGUAAGUUAUUGCAAAAAGCCAGCCAAGCUGUUCAAUAGUGUGCCAGAAAAUCACAACCACUUUCAUUUGUUGACCGAGUCCAUAGCCUAUUGCAUGGUAACCAAAAGUCUGGGAUUGCUGACAUACGAAUUUCACGAGAUGGUUUUGACCAUUGAACGUUGCGUACAAAAUGAUUCAAUGCUGUUGAACUACAAAUCAACAGAAUAUGUAUUUGUCGACAAAGCCACAUUCACUGUAAUAACGACAAAACUGACUCAAGAGCCAAAAGCUACAUGCAACUUGCGAGCUUCGUUUUGGCCACCCCUGCUAUUGGAGAUUCCAUUUAUCAUCAGAUGAUCUUUGUUGUAACUCAAUGAGUACCAAAUCAUUGAUUGCGACAGUAUAAUACAAUAAACAAAUACUCUUGUAUUUUUUUUACAAAAAUGGAAUGAUUUCAAACAUAAAAAGGCUUGGAAACUUUUGAAAAUAACCAACAAAUACAAAAAUCCUAAAUUAUCCUGGGUAGCCACUUCAUGAUUGACCACAACAACAGAACUAAAAAAUUCAGAUUACUAACAUUUUGUGCAGAUGAGUUAAGCACAUACUUUGGUCAGUUUGGCUCAAUCAACUAAUGCUAAUCCUAAAUUCUUCUUACCAUCUAGAAAUUUAAGCUUGACAAAAGAUGUAUAAAAAAUAAUAAUAAUCAUCAUCAAUGGCAGACUAAACUAACUUCAAUUUUAUAUAACACAUUUUCAUAAUUAAGUACUUGCUACUGCUACUGCCCCAUUAUAACUAGUAUCAAAGUUAUGUUGUAAAUAAAAUGUGGUUGAAAGAGUAAAGAGGUCGGGCCCUAGCAUGUAAUUCUGUGCCUCAGUCAUGUGGUGGCACCACCUCCUUUGAAAAGUUUAAUUGGUUACAUUCCCUUCAGCCUGCCACUGAUCAUCAUUGUAUUGUUUUAUUUUCUAUAAUAAUAAUUAAUUAAUUUUGAUUAAGGAAAUAUACGAAAUCAGUGAUUUGUUAAUUAAAUUUAAUGACCAACAAUUUUUAUCUUACUUUAUGGAUGGAAUAUGCAUUUUAGAUAAACAGCAUGACUAUUAUCACCUGGAAGAUGUACCAUC
RNAcentral lists this unclassified non-coding RNA (1397 nucleotides) under Acyrthosiphon pisum (pea aphid). Its description in RNAcentral is "uncharacterized LOC103311056, transcript variant X3". Lineage: Eukaryota; Metazoa; Arthropoda; Insecta; Hemiptera; Aphididae. The record is from RNAcentral.